RNAcentral lists this ribosomal RNA (472 nucleotides) under uncultured bacterium. RNAcentral's name for it is "partial 16S ribosomal RNA". It matches the Rfam family "Bacterial small subunit ribosomal RNA", at positions 28 to 507 of the family's 1533-position model. The record is from RNAcentral.
GACGAACGCUGGCGGCGUGCUUAACACAUGCAAGUCGAACGAUGAACCCGGAGCUUGCUCUGGGGGAUUAGUGGCGAACGGGUGAGUAACACGUGAGUAACCUGCCCUGGACUCUGGGAUAAGCGUUGGAAACGACGUCUAAUACCGGAUAGGACCUUGGAACGCAUGAUCUGGGGUGGAAAGUUUUUUCGGUCUGGGAUGGACUCGCGGCCUAUCAGCUUGUUGGUGAGGUAAUGGCUCACCAAGGCGUCGACGGGUAGCCGGCCUGAGAGGGUGACCGGCCACACUGGGACUGAGACACGGCCCAGACUCCGACGGGAGGCAGCAGUGGGGAAUAUUGCACAAUGGGCGAAAGCCUGAUGCAGCAACGCCGCGUGCGGGAUGACGGCCUUCGGGUUGUAAACCGAUUUUAGUAGGGAAGAAGGGCUUCGGCUUGACGGUACCUGCAGAAAAAGGACCGGCUAACUACGUG